UGAGUAACACGUAUGCAAUCCACCUGUAACAGGGGGAUAACCCGGAGAAAUCCGGACUAAUACCCCAUAAUAUGGGCGCUCCGCAUGGAGAGUUCAUUAAAGAGAGCAAUUUUGGUUACAGACGAGCAUGCGCUCCAUUAGCCAGUUGGCGGGGUAACGGCCCACCAAGGCGACGAUCAGUAGCCGGCCUGAGAGGGUGAACGGCCACAUUGGGACUGAGACACGGCCCAA
Molecule: ribosomal RNA, 231 nt
Filed under: uncultured bacterium
Lineage: Bacteria
Description: partial 16S ribosomal RNA
Rfam family: Bacterial small subunit ribosomal RNA
Source: RNAcentral